RNAcentral lists this ribosomal RNA (215 nucleotides) under uncultured bacterium. Its description in RNAcentral is "partial 16S ribosomal RNA". It matches the Rfam family "Bacterial small subunit ribosomal RNA", at positions 261 to 496 of the family's 1533-position model. The record is from RNAcentral.
CGGCCGCGUCGACCGACGAUCGGUAGCUGGUCUGAGAGGACGAUCAGCCACACUGGGACUGAGACACGGCCCAGACUCCUACGGGAGGCAGCAGUGGGAAUUUUCCGCAAUGGGGAACCGUACGAUGCAGCGACGCCGCGUGAAGGAAGAAGGCCUCGGUUGUAACUUACUGUCGUAGGACGGAUAAUGACGGUACCGUUACUAAGAAAGACCAC